This is a non-coding RNA of Peromyscus maniculatus bairdii (prairie deer mouse), 4481 nucleotides long. NCBI's taxonomy places the organism in Eukaryota, Metazoa, Chordata, Mammalia, Rodentia, Cricetidae. The record is from RefSeq and is a predicted model, not a curated record.
GGCAGAUGGGGUGGGACCAGGCCCGGAGCUGGCCGCUGAUGGGCAGAGACAGCCAAUGAAUGCGGAGAUGGAGGAGAAGCCGGUGGGAGCCGCUGCUGUCCCCCAAAGCUGGUGGCUGGGACGACUCUCGGGCCCCCAGCUUGGAAAGCUUUUCCAGCUUCGCCUAGAGGCUUCCGGCCUCCUGCUUCCUCUGUGCGGAACAACUGAGAACAGCUGAACGCGCCUCAUUAGCACUCCGGACCGAUCCACCCAUUUCCUCCUGCCACCCCCAAAGGCCAGACUCUUGAGCUUCUUGCAACAACACAAAGUAGGAACAGACAGAAUGCCCCGGCUUACUCCCACCUGCUUAAGAAAAGACCCCUCCCCUUUACCCAGACUCCCCUGCCUGCCUGUGGAAGGGCAGCCCACCCUUUAGUCGCCUCUGGGAGCACCUUCCCCGCGCCUGGGAGCCUGGCUCUCAGCAGCAGUUACAGAGGCUUUAUCUCUCAGAAAGACUUCCCAGCAUAUGCAGAAUUGAAAACCUCAACAAAGCCAUCCAGCCUAAGAUAGGAUGAUCUGACCGGCCCCGCUCUGGUUACCUCAGCCUCCUUGCGGGUCGCCUGCUGUCUACACUAGUGUUCCUUUCCUCCAUCAAGUGCCCCACCGCUGCCGUAAAGCCCUGGCACUGGCUGCUUCCCUUCCCUGUGCUGUGGUUGGGAUGUGGGUGCAUUAUAGAGGUCUGACGACUGGAGACGGUGUUGAACUGGUGCCACUUUUACUGAAAGGCCUGUAGGUCAUCUGGUUGCCAAGGGCUAAGGCAAUUCUCAUGUAACCCUGAGGUGGUUCUCAGGAGAAGGCUGCUAGAAAAGAGCCUGGCUGCUGUGUCCUUCUACCUCAUCCUGUGGUCCCCUCAUGCACAUUCUUACCACAGAGAAGCCAUCUACCGUGAAGCCUUCACCAAAGCCAGCCUGAUGCUGGUGCCAUGCCCUUGAACCUUCAGAACUGCGAGCUGCAGAAAGCUCUAAAGUUACCCAGCACCGAGUAUUUCAUUAUAGUGCUAUAAAGUGAACCAAUGCCGUGUACAGCAUUAGUGGCUGGGGGUACAGAGCUGAAAAGGGGACUCCCAACAUCAAGGUUAGCCAAAGAGCAUUAAGCAAGGCUUUCAAGCAGGAGUGACGGAUUCAGAUCUGAGAUGAUGCAUGUGCGUGGAAUGGAGGCUAGAGACGCUUAGAAAGCUGUUAGAAUAGUCCUCCAGUAAGUGGUAUUUAGAUAUUCAAAAUACCUCCCUGGGUAGUGGUGACACAUACCUUUAACCCCAGCACUUCGGAGGCAGGCAGGGGCAGACAGAUCUCUAUGAGUUUGAGGCCAGACUGGUCUACAAAGCGAGUUCCAGGACAGCCAGGACUGUUCACAGAGAAACUCUGUCUCAAAAAACCAAAAAGAAAAAAACAAACCAAAAAAAAAAAAAAAAAACCCUCAGGAUUACAAAUUAAGGACUCCCCUUCCAAAAUGUCACCUUGUGUCCUUCAGAAAGGACAAACAUUAUCCUCACAUGACAAAACACUUCUCUGAAAUCUGUGUGUGCCUUGUCACAAAACUGAUGUAGUAGUAGUUAUUAUCCUGGCAUCUAGAAUCACCCAGGAAACAGGCCUCUGGGCAUGCCUUGUGGGGGAGUAUCCUAACUGAGCUAAUCGAAGUGAAAAGAUCUGACCACUGUGGGUGGCAACAUUCCCUGGGCUGGGCCCUACCAACCUACACUAUAUAAAAAGGACGUGAGUUGAAUAAAAUCAUUCUGUUUCUUGACUGUGGGUGGAGUGUGACCAGCUGCCUCAAACUCCUGCCUAUGUCCCUUCUCCACGAUAGAUUCAGUGAGCCCAAAUGAACCUUUAAGAUGCUAUUAGCAGGAACCUGAGCAACAGGAAAAUAGUUAGGACAACUAGGGAUCUUAGUUAAAGGCCCAAAACUUGAGAGGUGGGGAGGCUGCCGAGGAGCUGGGAUCCCUGCAUGGAGACCAUCUAUCACUUGAUAGCCAGGCCUUGGGUCCUGAGAAGUGGCCAGUUCCUCACACCUGCCCCUCCAGAAUGUGAAAAUGUUCAGCGUUGGAAGGGACCUUCAGCUGCCCGUUCCCCGAUAUCUCAGCAGGAAACAGGACUCUGUUCUAAUAGGUCAACUGAAGACUCUCUAAUGAACUGUUUAUAGAGAGCUGCACAGGAUUAAAGAUGCCAAGGAGGAUGCUGGGAAAGCUGGAGACUGCAGACUGCUGAAACCACCAAGGCCCACAGGAGCGUGGCUGGACCUAGAGAAGGCUGGGGACGGGCAGGAGAGCUGUGUGCAGGAGCUUAAGCAAGCAGAGGGGCAAAGAGUAUUCCCAUCCCCUCCUUCCCUCCAGCCUCCUGCCAGUGCCUUCCAUUGGCCAGAGCACACUGGAGCCAACCAGCAGGGAGCCUCAUGACCGUUGUACAAGGUCAGCUUUCUGAGGCACGGGACAGGGGAAAGGAGGGGAGAUCUCAGCCUGCAAAAGACAGGAAGCAACGGACUGUAGGAUCUGUGUCCACCCUGCCGUUUUUUUUCUAAAGCAAUGUCAGAGCGGAGGCACCUUGGCUCUUGUGGGGCAAGUCAGUAAAAGGCCCUUGGUCCCUCUCCUUGUGGUCAAGUUUCAUAGAAAACGGGUCUGGCCCAGAACCACCGCUGUAGAGGGAGGCGGCAGAACAAGGGCAGUGAAGGGCAGCUCCCUAGAAGAUGGCGGCCCCCUAGAGGAUGACGGCCCCCCCAGAGGAUGACAGCCCCCUAGAGGAUGGCGGCCCCCCAAGAGGAUGGCGCCCCCCCCCCCAGAGGAUGGCGGUCCCUCCCCCAAGAGGAUGGUAUCCAAGAGCUGCAUCAAGAAGGUGAUGGGUGCUUCUUCCCUGUCUCUUCAUGGUCUACCUGAUACCUGCUUCUGCCCCAUUUCCCUAGGCAUGGAGACAAGAACACAGUCCUGAGGCUGGCAGGGACAGAAGGAGGAGACUCUGUCUGCCUGGUAGCCAGCCCCCACUCAUCGAUUCCCUGGGGCUGCUUACUGAUCCGGCCCAAGGUGGUUUAACUGAAGUCCUUACAAUACAUGGUGCAGAAAAGCAACACCCUUAGUCUGUUAGGAGCCACAAGGACACAGAGCUGGGAAACCCUGUGAGAGCGAGCAAGAGCAGUCGGCCAGCAGCUGUUGGAAAGCGGCUGAGACCAAGAAGCCAUAGAGUCCGGGCUUCAGUCCAGUCUCUGCCUCUCUGAGCUGUUCUGCCCUUGUCAAGGCCUGGGAAGAGCCGAGACCAUGCCUGCAUCUCCUGGCCCGCCCCAGAGCGUCCCACUCCAUUCUCAUUGCAGCCUCCCAGGCACUUGCUCCUCCAGGCCACACGGCGACUCACACUCCAUCCAAGCCGCUCUCUCCUCCUGCAAUGCCCUCCAUUCACUGUUCCUUGGCCCCUUUGAGCCUCCUCCUUUGGGAAGACUUCCCUGGCCCAGCCUCCCUCCCAUAAGCGUCCCAUCAUCGUUGGCCACCUGGUUCCCUUCUCUCUCAUGCCGGACAGUCUCCCUUUCUCCCCUGGCUUAGCUUCUCUUGUAGAUACAAGGCAGGAACUGCAUUUUUCUCACCUUGGCUUGCCUAACAGGCCUCACCGGGAUCAGGUUAUGAGAGGAAGCAGCAGGUGGAGAGAGGAGGACCUAGGACCCAGAGAUGGGCACAGCCAGGCACAGCAGUCCCUGAUAUCAGCUCCUGUGUGGCCCUGAGCUCCCUCCCAGCUAAUUAGGAUGGAGCAUCCGUCAUCCGCUUAUAUCUUUAGCAAGGGACACAGCCUUCCCUGUGCCUGGGCCCAGCUGGCUCUCUGCUCAGACUCAUAAACUUGUAACUGACUCAGUAGCAGAGGACACAGGAGCCGUGCUGUGAAAUCAUAAAAUGAGCAUGAGAAGGAAUCUUAUCAUGUGCAGAGAGUGAGGUCCCCAUGAUCCCAGUCCAAGACAUGGGAGUCUGGGUAGCUUCCUCAGCCCCGGGCACGAGAGACGCUAUGCGUAGGUACUCGGGGUCACAGCACCAGCUGCCAGCCAUCUCACGGAAAGAGAGGCCCACCUUGGGCACCCAGUCAGUGCAGCCUUCAGACUCCAGACCCUGGCACAACCACACAGCAAAGAACCUCCCAGCUAAGUUCAGCUAACCCAUGAAACCGUACGGGGUAUUUUACACUCCGAGAAACUUCCUGCAUCUAGAUGGCACUUUACAGGUGAGCAGCUGUCACCCCAACCGUCACGUGACUUACUGAGAGCCUCGAGGUGGUCAGAGGCAGAAUCCAUCACCCCAGCUGCUGUCACCUUACCCCACCACCAGAAAAGGUAGAGACGUGAGCUCUCCAGAGCAGAAGAGGAAAAGAAGGAAAGAUGAAUUUUGUCGAAAACAUCCCAGAUGGAUCCCAUGUAUGAAGGAAAUUGUUCUCUGUGUGUGGUUUUUGUUUUCAGUCUUCCAAAUAGUGUCUUGGAGUUUA